UUGAAGUGAACUUGAAGUAGCUUAGGAAACAAGCUACCACUUUCUUAUGAGAUUAGGAAAGUCAUAUGUUAGAGUUAUCUAUAAAAGUAGUUUCCUAAUGAGUUUAGGAACUUAAGAUAUAUAUAUAAGAAUAUGCAAGAGUGUUGCAUAACUUGUGAGAGUUGAGAGCUUUAGUUUUUUGAGUUAUUUUCUAAAGCAUUGAGUGAUUAAUAAAGUGUGAACUUGAGAGUUUGAUUCAAUAGUUAUAAUUUUUUUAAAAUUUGGUGUUAUUCAAUAAAUGAUUAAAGUCUAAUUUUUAAAAUUUAAGGGAUCUUAUUGGAUCAAAGAUUUGAGAGGGUUUCAAUUUUUUUCCAAAUCCCUUCUUAUUGUAUCUAGCAUUUGUAAAUUCUUUAUGAAAUUCAAUUUUAUUGAAUUAGUCAUUUGUAUAAGUUCUCUCAAAUUCCAGCUUAUUUAAAGAUAUGGAUUUGUCAAAGAAAUCUAUC
Molecule: long non-coding RNA, 482 nt
Filed under: Brassica napus (rape)
Lineage: Eukaryota; Viridiplantae; Streptophyta; Magnoliopsida; Brassicales; Brassicaceae
Description: long non-coding RNA (BNAP_LNC024348)
Source: RNAcentral